GACGAACGCUGGCGGCGUGCUUAACACAUGCAAGUCGAACGGAAACGCCCUGCUUUUGUGGUGUGCUCGAUUGGCGCACGGGUGCGUAACACGUGCGUAACCUGACCUUGACUUUGGGAUAACUUCAGGACACUGGGGCUAAUACCGGAUAGGCGCUCCUGCUGCAUGGUGGGGGUUGGAAAGUUUCGGCGGGUGGGGAUGGACUCGCGGCUUAGCAGCUUGUUGGUGGGGUAGUGGCUUACCAAGGGAUUGACGGGUAGCCGGCCUGAGAGGGUGACCGGGCAAAUGGGGAGAGUGAUACGGCACAGAGUCGUACGGGAGGGAGGAGUGGGGAAGAGUGCACGAUGGGCGGAAGCCGGAUGCAGGAACGCCGCGUGAGGGAUGACGGCCUUCGGUUUGAAAACCGCUUUGGCCUGUGACGGAGCGUGAGUGACGGUAAUGGGUAAAGAAGCACCGGCUAACUACGUG
RNAcentral lists this ribosomal RNA (468 nucleotides) under uncultured bacterium. RNAcentral describes it as "partial 16S ribosomal RNA". It matches the Rfam family "Bacterial small subunit ribosomal RNA", at positions 28 to 507 of the family's 1533-position model. The record is from RNAcentral.